UACGGGGGGGGCAAGCGUUGUUCGGAAUUACUGGGCGUAAAGCGCACGUAGGCGGCUUUGUAAGUCAGAGGUGAAAGCCCGGAGCUUAACUCCGGAAUUGCCUUUGAGACUGCAUCGCUUGAAUCCAGGAGAGGUGAGUGGAAUUCCGAGUGUAGAGGUGAAAUUCGUAGAUAUCCGGAAGAACACCAGUGGCGAAGGCGGCUCACUGGACUGGUAUUGACGCUGAGGUGCGAAAGCGUGGGGAGCAAACAGG
RNAcentral lists this ribosomal RNA (253 nucleotides) under uncultured bacterium. RNAcentral's name for it is "partial 16S ribosomal RNA". It matches the Rfam family "Bacterial small subunit ribosomal RNA", at positions 524 to 776 of the family's 1533-position model. The record is from RNAcentral.